GAUUUCUGACGGGGCGCACCUGGCCCGCCACGGUUACGUGUGUGAGUGCCGGGCUGCGCCUGUCACUUGUUCUGGUUGCCUCAUGUGGUCCUUCAUUGGGCCGUGUGAUCGGUGUGCCAGAUGUUUUACUUUGAAAAAAUUAGAGUGUUUAAAGCAGGCGUUGUCGCUAUGAAUACAUUAGCAUGGAAUAAUAAGUUAGGACUUUGGUUCUAUUUUGUUGGUUUCUAGAAUCUUGGUAAUGAUUGAUAGGGAUAGUUGGGGGUGCUAGUAUUCAGCGGCCAGAGGUGAAAUUCUUGGAUUCGCUGAAGACUAACUUAUGCGAAAGCAUU
Molecule: ribosomal RNA, 329 nt
Filed under: uncultured Cercozoa
Lineage: Eukaryota; Cercozoa
Description: bacterial SSU rRNA
Rfam family: Eukaryotic small subunit ribosomal RNA (bases 117-329)
Source: RNAcentral